Molecule: long non-coding RNA, 879 nt
Organism: Gadus morhua (Atlantic cod)
Lineage: Eukaryota; Metazoa; Chordata; Actinopteri; Gadiformes; Gadidae
Source: Ensembl
AAGGCCAAAUAUGAAAUUUUCCCUGCCCGACUACUCCAGUGAAGACGAUGACAAUCGGAAUCUCCCCCCGCCUCCAAAAAUCCCAAGAGCACCAGCAAAAAAAAAAACUAUUCCAAAUUCAGAGUUGACCACCGUUACUGCUCUGCCAGUAGCACCACCGCUCUUCCGCUCCAGCCAUGCCGCAUACAGUGAGCCUGGCAGAAGACAUUGUGGAGAAUUGACAGGUCCGACCUUUAUUUUGCCACCUCGACCACAGCACCCAGGAACAUUUUUCAACUCCAUCGAUGCCGAGUUGACUACCGUUACUGCUCUGCCAGUAGCACCACCGCUCUUCCGCUCCAGCCAUGCCGAGUUAACAAGUCAGACCACCACUCCUCCGUCAACUUCGCCCACAUCUCUGCCAGUACCACCCCAGCAAGAUUUUUACAGACUUGUUCUGCAGCACCUCCGCACAAUUGAGGAGGAGCUGAAGGAGGUGAAGCAGCAGGUGGCGGUCAACACAGCCAUGAUACAGAGACUAGGUGGUGGUGGUGUGGCAGAUCUCGGCCUUGUGGAAGACACCAACAUGCCAUUGAGCAAUGCCGAGGACCUGGACGAGCUGGAGAGGCGGCUUAUAUCUGAUGUGGACCUAAAAAAUCAACUGGUGAACAUACUUGCUAUUUUGGGAGGGAAAACCACCAAAGACGCAGUGAAGAGGAUGCUGGGCCGGGCUUUCAGGAGGUCCCUGGCGCUCCAAAUUAAUUGGACUGGCGCAGCUGGAAAGAUCGCUUUCAGGUUGCACAGAGCCGUUCGGAGAGUGGUAACCACAGCCACUGAAGAGGAGCUUCAAAAAGAAGUCUCCCUGUAUUUGAAGGGGGCGGCUGACAGGGAGGGAGGGAG